RNAcentral lists this ribosomal RNA (253 nucleotides) under uncultured bacterium. RNAcentral describes it as "partial 16S ribosomal RNA". It matches the Rfam family "Bacterial small subunit ribosomal RNA", at positions 524 to 776 of the family's 1533-position model. The record is from RNAcentral.
UACGUAGGGGGCGAGCGUUGUCCGGAAUCAUUGGGCGUAAAGCGCGUGUAGGCGGCCAGGUAAGUCCGUUCUGAAAGCCCGGGGCUCAACCCCGGGAGGCGGAUGGAUACUGCUUGGCUCGAGUCCGGAAGAGGCGAGUGGAAUUCCCGGUGUAGCGGUGAAAUGCGCAGAUAUCGGGAGGAACACCAAUGGCGAAGGCGGCGACCUGGGCCAAUACUGACGCUGAGGUGCGAAAGCGUGGGGAGCAAACAGG